ACAAACAUUGUUUUGUCAAUCUUGUCCAGUAAAGGUGUUUAAAAAAUUAUGUUUUCGAAAUUUAAAAACUACACCUGCGUGGUGUUUUUUUUUUAGCGUGUUCCUAAGUCUGCCAAAAACAAAAACAAAAUCUCCUUGGUGCGACGGCCACAAAAUUUUCAUCUCCAGUUGCUGCUAGUUUUGUGCGACCAAAUCUAUGGCAUUAUUCGCAUCAUCCGGUACCGGAUCCAGGAUUGCUGCUGGGUUCGAGAUGCUGCCGCUGAACAAGAAAGCAGCUGGAAAAUCAACCGGCAAACCAUCCAAGGCAGCCGCCACGGAACGAUAUAAACAACGUUUCCGUCUACAAAUCUGCAUAGACGACUUGACAGGAUAAAAUACCGAAAUACGGACAGUUCCAUUCGCCGCCUAGGUAAGCUACAAAUUCGAAUGGAAACUGGAAAAGGACCGAUAAGUGAUACAUUUCAGUCUCCGCAACCAGGGAUCAUUCGGUUUGCAGCUUUAGGAUGGAUACUUACACGAAGUGUUUUAUUUUGUGCAAGGACGGCGUGAAGCUACUGGACAGACAAACUUCUGAUUGUCAAGAGUUUUGGUGUAUUUAUAGUGUUUAUAUUUCGGGGAAUUAAAUAAAAAUGUGUUGAGCAAUUAAUUUAUAACGCACAAUGAAGUAAGUACUAUGUGUAGUCUAAAUUUUCUUCAACCUUAAAAAAGUGUCACUUAAAGCCAUACAUUCUCGAAUAUAGAAUUAAAUAUACUCAUUUUUUUUUAUUUGAAGUGAGUUUUUCUACACAUUACUUGUUUCAAUGUCUCAUCUACAAUAUUUUAAUAGCAAAUUCUCUAAUGGUAUAAAUGUAUCUGGAUAACCCAGUGUAUGGUUCAAAUACAACAAAGAACAAUAAACCAACAAUUACACAUA
This is a long non-coding RNA of Aedes aegypti (yellow fever mosquito), 913 nucleotides long. RefSeq lists it as uncharacterized. The record is from RefSeq and is a predicted model, not a curated record. The transcript has 2 exons. Lineage: Eukaryota; Metazoa; Arthropoda; Insecta; Diptera; Culicidae.